GAAACUUAGCACAUGAAAUUUGAAGGUUAUUUGUUUAAAUUCGGAUUUAGCAUUCUUGAGUUGUUAAAUUUUAUUGUUCAAAGAGUUUUGUCUCUAAAUUAAUUAGAUUGAUCGCCUACCUAAUUUAGGACAUUUCGUAUAAUUAUCUAAGAGUAAUUGAGUAAUCGAAUUUCUGAAUUAAACUUAGAGUCAGUGAUAAUAAAUUAGCAUGCCGCUAA
Molecule: long non-coding RNA, 218 nt
Filed under: Gossypium barbadense (sea-island cotton)
Lineage: Eukaryota; Viridiplantae; Streptophyta; Magnoliopsida; Malvales; Malvaceae
Description: long non-coding RNA (GBAR_LNC013571)
Source: RNAcentral